GACGAACGCUGGCGGCGUGCCUAAUACAUGCAAGUAGAACGCACAGUUUAUACCGUAGCUUGCUACACCAUAGACUGUGAGUUGCGAACGGGUGAGUAACGCGUAGGUAACCUGCCUGGUAGCGGGGGAUAACUAUUGGAAACGAUAGCUAAUACCGCAUAAUAUUGAUUAUUGCAUGAUAAUUGAUUGAAAGAUGCUAUUGCAUCACUACCAGAUGGACCUGCGUUGUACUAGCUAGUAGGUGAGGUAACGGCUCACCUAGGCGACGAUACAUAGCCGACCUGAGAGGGUGAUCGGCCACACUGGGACUGAGACACGGCCCAGACUCCUGCGGGAGGCAGCAGUAGGGAAUCUUCGGCAAUGGACGAAAGUCUGACCGAGCAACGCCGCGUGAGUGAAGAAGGUUUUCGGAUCGUAAAGCUCUGUUGUAAGAGAAGAACGGGUGUGAGAGUGGAAAGUUCACACUGUGACGGUAUCUUACCAGAAAGGGACGGCUAACUACGUG
Molecule: ribosomal RNA, 505 nt
Filed under: uncultured bacterium
Lineage: Bacteria
Description: partial 16S ribosomal RNA
Rfam family: Bacterial small subunit ribosomal RNA
Source: RNAcentral